CACCUGCACCCAUUUGAAUUCACGAAAAAUAAGUUCUCAUGAAUUUUCUCCCAUGCAGAAGCCUUCUCACGUUCCUUCUUUGUGCACCAUUUUGAAUGGAUAAUGAUAAGGUUGGUUGGCUAUUCAAAUUCAAAGAAUGUUUGAAUUUUAAUGGUUAACAAAUCCCUGCGCCAUCUCUUUCUUUUGUGCACCACUUCCUCCACACGAGAAAAGGUUUCUUGUG
RNAcentral lists this long non-coding RNA (223 nucleotides) under Elaeis guineensis (African oil palm). Its description in RNAcentral is "long non-coding RNA (EGUI_LNC082214)". The record is from RNAcentral. Lineage: Eukaryota; Viridiplantae; Streptophyta; Magnoliopsida; Arecales; Arecaceae.